GACGAACGCUGGCGGCGUGCUUAACACAUGCAAGUCGAACGGUGAAGCCCUUCGGGGUGGAUCAGUGGCGAACGGGUGCGUAACACGUGAGCAACCUGCCCCUGGCUCUGGGACAACCACUGGAAACGGUGGCUAAUACCGGAUACGACCCGCCUCGGCAUCGAGUGUGGGUGGAAAGUAUUUCGGCUGGGGAUGGGGUCGCGGCCUAUCAGCUUGUUGGUGAGGUGAAGGCUCACCAAGGCGACGACGGGUAGCCGGCCUGAGAGGGCGACCGGCCACACUGGGACUGAGACACGGCCCAGACUCCUACGGGAGGCAGCAGUGGGGAAUAUUGCACAAUGGGCGAAAGCCUGAUGCAGCGACGCCGCGUGAGGGAUGACGGCCUUCGGGUUGUAAACCUCUUUCAGCUCCGAAGAAGCGAAAGUGACGGUAGGAGCAGAAGAAGCACCGGCUAACUACGUG
RNAcentral lists this ribosomal RNA (462 nucleotides) under uncultured bacterium. RNAcentral describes it as "partial 16S ribosomal RNA". It matches the Rfam family "Bacterial small subunit ribosomal RNA", at positions 28 to 507 of the family's 1533-position model. The record is from RNAcentral.